UACAUGGCUGGCUUAGCUCUGAGAACUGAAUUCCAUAGGCUUUAGAAGAAAUGAAACGCCCCGUGGAUUCAGUUCUACAGCUAGGCAGCUAAUAAACUCCAGAGAGC
Naja naja (Indian cobra) is the source of this 107-nucleotide microRNA precursor. The record is from Ensembl. Lineage: Eukaryota; Metazoa; Chordata; Lepidosauria; Squamata; Elapidae.